RNAcentral lists this ribosomal RNA (206 nucleotides) under uncultured bacterium. RNAcentral's name for it is "partial 16S ribosomal RNA". It matches the Rfam family "Bacterial small subunit ribosomal RNA", at positions 568 to 774 of the family's 1533-position model. The record is from RNAcentral.
UUCGUAGGUGGCCAACUAAGUCAGACGUGAAAUCCCUCAGCUUAACUGGGGAACUGCGUCUGAUACUGGUGUGGCUUGAGUGCAGGAGAGGAACGCGGAAUUCCAGGUGUAGCGGUGAAAUGCGUAGAUAUCUGGAGGAACACCGGUGGCGAAGGCGGCGUUCUGGACUGCAACUGACACUGAGGAACAAAGCCAGGGAGCAAACG